GCGCACAAUGAGACAGCGCUGAGCGCCGGAAGUGGGGCCGAAGGAAAACACGGAGAGGGAGCCCGGCCGGGACAGGAAGAGGCGGGGGACCGCGGCGGAGGUGGUGCGGGGUAAGAAAAUUGAAGUCAAAGACCAUGGGAGAUGCAGCAAAACCGUAUUUUGUGAAACGUGCUAAGGACCGAGGGACUAUAGAUGAUGAGGAUUUCAGAAGGGGUCACCCCCAGCAAGAUUAUUUGAUAAUGGAUGAUUAUGCUAAAGGCCAUAGCAGUAAAAUGGAAAAAGGCCUUCCAAAAAAAAAAAUAACACCAGGGAACUAUGGGAGUACCCCCAGAAAAGGACCGUAUGCUGUUUCCAGCAAUCCCUAUGCAUUUAAAAACCCAAUUUACAGUCAACCUGCUUGGAUAAAUGACAACCACAAAGAUCAGAGUAAGAGGUGGCUCUCUGAUGAACUUGCUGGUAAUUCAGACAGUCGGAGGGAAUAUAAACCUGGACCUAGAAUUCCUGUUACAAACCGACCAAGAAAAGACUCCUUUCAAGAAAGUGAGGAUGGAUAUAGGUGGCAGGACACAAGAGGCUGCAGAACUGUCAGACGACUACUUCACAAAGACUUGACAAGCCUAGAAGCCAUGUCAGAAAUGGAAGCGGGAAGCCCUGAAAACAAGAAGCAGAGGUCCAGACCUCGGAAGCCACGUAGGACUAGAAAUGAGGAAAAUGAGCAGGACGGAGACUUGGAAGGCCCGGUAAUUGACGAGUCUGUGCUUUCAACGAAGGAGCUCCUGGGCUUACAGCAGGCAGAGGAGCGAUUAAAAAGAGACUUCAUUGACAGGCUAAAAAGGCGACCAAGAAACUACCCUACAGCUAAGUACACCUGCAAACUUUGUGAUGUUUUAAUUGAAUCCAUUGCAUUUGCCCAUAAGCACAUCAAAGAGAAGAGGCACAAGAAAAACAUUAAGGAGAAACAAGAGGAAGAGUUGCUCACUACGUUACCCCCGCCUACACCCUCCCAGAUUAAUGCAAUUGGUAUUGCCAUUGACAAAGUGGUACAGGAGUUUGGCUUACACAAUGAGAACUUGGAACAGAGACUAGAAAUUAAACGUAUCAUGGGAAAUGUGUUCCAACACAAGUUACCAGAUUGUUCUCUGAGAUUAUAUGGGUCAUCCUGUAGCAGAUUGGGUUUCAAAAAUUCAGAUGUAAAUAUCGACAUUCAAUUUCCAGCCAUUAUGUCUCAGCCAGAUGUUCUCUUACUUGUUCAAGAAUGUUUAAAGAACAGUGACUCUUUUAUUGAUGUUGAUGCAGACUUCCAUGCUAGGGUGCCAGUGGUGGUGUGCAGAGAAAAGCAAAGUGGUCUUCUUUGUAAAGUGAGUGCAGGAAAUGAAAAUGCUUGUUUGACAACAAACCAUUUAACUGCCCUUGGAAAACUUGAAUCGAAGCUGAUUCCUUUGGUGAUUGCCUUUCGGCACUGGGCAAAGCUUUGCAGUAUAGAUCGCCCUGAAGAAGGAGGCUUGCCACCUUAUGUGUUUGCCCUGAUGGCCAUUUUCUUUCUUCAACAGAGGAAAGAACCUCUUCUGCCUGUUUAUCUAGGAUCAUGGAUUGAAGGAUUCUCAUUAAACAAACUAGGGAACUUCAGCCUUAAAGAUGUUCAAAACGACGCUGUGUUCUGGGAAUACACUGAGAGUGCUGCUGGCGAUGCAGACAUAGCAAAAGAAGGGGCCCCAAAAGAAAUGCCUGUUAAAAGGGGACAGGUAUCAUUAAUAUUUGAUUUCAAGCACCUGCCGUCAGUGCCAGUUGGGCAGCUCUGGGUGGAAAUGCUUCGAUUCUAUGCUUUAGAAUUCAAUUUGGCUGACUUAGUGAUCAGUAUUCGUGUUAAAGAAUCUGUAUCUCGGGAAUCAAAGGAUUGGCCCAAAAAGCGCAUUGCCAUUGAAGAUCCCUACUCUGUUAAAAGAAAUGUGGCAAGGACUCUAAAUAAUCAACCAGUGUUUGAAUAUAUACUUCAUUGUUUAAGGACAACGUAUAAGUAUUUUGCCCUUCCACACAAAAUUACAAAAUCCAGCCUUCCAAAGCCUCUGACUACUGUCACAUGUCUUUCCAAACAUUCUAAAGAAGUAGCCGAGCAUGACCCGGGUACACAAGCAAAAGAGGAUAAACUGAAAAACUCAGUUUUGGCUCGAGAGCCAGGUGCUGCCAUUUCAACUACAGACACCUGCACGGUACAGCCACUGACUCUUGUUAAAGAGACGGCUGAAAGCUUUGGAAGCCCCCCAUCAGAGGAACUGGGAAAUGGGCAUGUCAGUGUCUGCCUGGAAAACCCAGACCGUAUCAAGGCAGGUGCCAGUUGUGAUGAGCAAGGGGAUAUUAAAGGACACCAUCAAGAAACAGGAAGUGAAACUGGGAGAGAGGGCAAGCAUCCUUUGACUACCGAUGAUCAAGGUUUAAGGAGUAGCAGACGUGGAGAGUUUGUCAUCUGUGGCAGCACGCAAAAUAAUGAGACAGAGAGCACUUUGCAUUUAGAAGGCUUCCAAAAUCCCGCAGCCAAAGAGUGUGAUGGAUUCACUACUUCGGAAGACAAGGCUGAUGUUGAUGAAGAAGGCAUAGAAGGUACAGAUGAUCUCGAAGAUGCUCUAAGCCACUUCACCCCCUCAAGACAGGGCCAUACGUCAGGAAUCAUUCAUUCCGAUGAAGAGGAGGAGGAAGAAGAGGAAGAGGAUGACGAUGAAGAGCCCAGGCUGUCCAUUACCCAAAGGGAAGAUGAGGAUGACUUGGCUAAUGAAGAUGAGUUAGAAAAUACAUACACGGGAUCAGGGGACGAGGAUGCCCUGUCUGAGGAGGAGGAUGAAUUAGGGGAGUCUGCUAAGUGUAAAGACUCGAAAGAAGGUGGAAAACCUGCGGCUGGGGCUCUACUAACAGAAUUUAAUAAAAUCUGUCUUAAAGAAGAAAAUACAUGUGAGGAAGGCUCAACUGUGGAUCAGUCUGAUUUCUUCUAUGAAUUUAGUAAACUCACCUUCACCAAAGGCAAGUCUCCUAUGGUCGUGUGCAGCUUAUGCAAACGAGAAGGUCAUCUCAAGAAGGACUGUCCCGAAGACUUCAAAAGAAUUCAGCUAGAACCUUUGCCACCACUGACACCCAAAUUUUCAAAUAUCUUAGAUCAAGUUUGCAUCCAAUGUUAUAAGGAUUUUUCUCCAACUAUUUUAGAAGAUCAAGCUCGUGAGCAUAUUCGGCAAAACCUAGAAAGUUUCAUAAGACAGGAGUUUCCAGGAACUAAAUUGAGCUUGUUUGGCUCCUCCAAAAAUGGAUUUGGGUUCAAACAGAGUGACCUUGACGUCUGUAUGACAAUUAAUGGACUUGAAACUGCAGAGGGGUUGGACUGUGUAAGAACUAUUGAAGAACUGGCAAGAGUCCUCAAAAAACAUUCAGGUCUGAGAAACAUUUUGCCUAUUACAACAGCAAAGGUGCCAAUUGUAAAGUUCUUCCAUUUGAGAAGUGGUCUGGAAGUGGACAUCAGUUUGUAUAACACACUGGCCCUUCAUAACACAAGGCUCUUAUCUGCUUAUUCAGCCAUUGAUCCCAGAGUUAAAUAUUUAUGCUACACCAUGAAAGUCUUUACAAAGAUGUGUGAUAUUGGUGAUGCAUCUAGAGGCAGCUUAUCGUCAUAUGCAUACACGCUUAUGGUGCUAUAUUUUCUCCAGCAGAGGAAUCCACCAGUCAUUCCUGUCCUUCAAGAGAUAUACAAAGGUGAAAAGAAACCUGAAAUAUUUGUUGAUGGCUGGAAUAUUUAUUUUUUUGAUCAAAUAGAUGAACUGCCCACCUAUUGGCCAGAAUAUGGGAAAAAUACAGAAUCUGUUGGGCAACUAUGGUUGGGACUUCUUCGAUUCUACACAGAGGAAUUUGAUUUUAAAGAACAUGUUAUUAGCAUCAGGAGAAAAAGUCUGCUUACAACUUUUAAGAAACAGUGGACCUCAAAAUACAUUGUUAUUGAAGAUCCCUUUGAUUUGAAUCAUAAUCUUGGAGCUGGAUUAUCAAGGAAAAUGACAAAUUUUAUAAUGAAAGCAUUCAUUAAUGGUAGAAGAGUAUUUGGUAUUCCAGUCAAAGGAUUUCCGAAGGACUGCCCCUCAAAAAUGGAGUACUUUUUUGAUCCAGAAGUGCUAACUGAAGGAGAGCUGGCCCCAAACGAUAGAUGUUGCCGAAUUUGUGGGAAAAUUGGACACUUCAUGAAGGACUGUCCAAUGAGGAGAAAAGUGAGACGACGGCGUGAUCAGGAAGAUACCCAGAACCAAAGAUACCCUGAGAACAAAGAGAAGAGAAGCAAAGAGGACAAAGAAAUUCAGAACAAGUACACAGAGAGGGAGGUGUCGACAAAAGAAGAUAAGCCCAUGCAGUGCACACCUCAGAAAGCCAAGCCAGUGAGGGCGGCUGUCGACCUGGGCAGAGAGAAAAUACUCAGGCCUCCAGUGGAAAAAUGGAAGAGACAGGAUGACAAAGACUUAAGAGAAAAACGUUGUUUUAUUUGUGGACGAGAAGGGCACAUUAAAAAGGAAUGCCCACAAUUUAAAGGCUCUCCAGGUGUGUCUAAAUCAGAUUGUGUAUUCGGAUCCCCUUCUUCACCUAGCCCCCUGAGACCAACUGGCGCAUUUGCUCAGGCAGUGCUUUUACAUGAAGACAAAAAGAAACAAAAAACAACUAUAUUUUUGAGUCCCCAGUCAGCCAAAGAAUUUGUUGCAAUCUGUCCUGUGUGGUUGUAAGUGAAGACACUGAUGUAUGCAAAGCAGAGGUUUCAAAAAGUCCACCUGGCCCUCUGCACCAACAUGGAAACAAGUGAUGAGAAUGAUGUCACUCUAGCAACCUUCCUGCAUUUAGAAAGAAUUUUGACUAGGUAGCCUUUCCAGUAAAUAUAUGACUCAGGGAAAAGCCUCAGCGAAGAGGACCCAGCAGGAAUCAUGAGGGAAG
This is an RNA transcript of Lontra canadensis (Northern American river otter), 4941 nucleotides long. It is a transcript of the gene named terminal uridylyl transferase 7, with no coding region annotated. Lineage: Eukaryota; Metazoa; Chordata; Mammalia; Carnivora; Mustelidae. The transcript is spliced from 30 exons. The record is from RefSeq and is a predicted model, not a curated record.